This 253-nucleotide ribosomal RNA is filed under the name uncultured bacterium. Its description in RNAcentral is "partial 16S ribosomal RNA". It matches the Rfam family "Bacterial small subunit ribosomal RNA", at positions 524 to 776 of the family's 1533-position model. The record is from RNAcentral.
UACGUAGGGGUCUAGCGUUGUCCGGAUUUAUUGGGCGUAAAGAGCGUGUAGGCGGCCAGGUAGGUCGGUUGUGAAAACUGGAGGCUCAACCUUCAGAGGUCGACCGAAACCAUCUGGCUAGAGUCCGGGAGAGGAGAGUGGAAUUCCUGGUGUAGCGGUGAAAUGCGCAGAUAUCAGGAAGAACACCCGUGGCGAAAGCGGCUCUCUGGAACGGUACUGACGCUGAGACGCGAAAGCGUGGGGAGCGAACAGG